This 1401-nucleotide ribosomal RNA is filed under the name uncultured bacterium. Its description in RNAcentral is "bacterial SSU rRNA". It matches the Rfam family "Bacterial small subunit ribosomal RNA". The record is from RNAcentral.
AGAGUUUGAUCCUGGCUCAGGAUGAACGCUAGCUACAGGCUUAACACAUGCAAGUCGAGGGGCAGCAUGGUCUUAGCUUGCUAAGGCUGAUGGCGACCGGCGCACGGGUGAGUAACACGUAUCCAACCUGCCGUCUACUCUUGGCCAGCCUUCUGAAAGGAAGAUUAAUCCAGGAUGGGAUCAUGAGUUCACAUGUCCGCAUGAUUAAAGGUAUUUUCCGGUAGACGAUGGGGAUGCGUUCCAUUAGAUAGUAGGCGGGGUAACGGCCCACCUAGUCAACGAUGGAUAGGGGUUCUGAGAGGAAGGUCCCCCACAUUGGAACUGAGACACGGUCCAAACUCCUACGGGAGGCAGCAGUGAGGAAUAUUGGUCAAUGGGCGAUGGCCUGAACCAGCCAAGUAGCGUGAAGGAUGACUGCCCUAUGGGUUGUAAACUUCUUUUAUAAAGGAAUAAAGUCGGGUAUGCAUACCCGUUUGCAUGUACUUUAUGAAUAAGGAUCGGCUAACUCCGUGCCAGCAGCCGCGGUAAUACGGAGGAUCCGAGCGUUAUCCGGAUUUAUUGGGUUUAAAGGGAGCGUAGGUGGACAGUUAAGUCAGUUGUGAAAGUUUGCGGCUCAACCGUAAAAUUGCAGUUGAUACUGGCUGUCUUGAGUACAGUAGAGGUGGGCGGAAUUCGUGGUGUAGCGGUGAAAUGCUUAGAUAUCACGAAGAACUCCGAUUGCGAAGGCAGCUCACUGGACUGCAACUGACACUGAUGCUCGAAAGUGUGGGUAUCAAACAGGAUUAGAUACCCUGGUAGUCCACGCAGUAAACGAUGAUAACUCGUUGUCGGCGAUACACAGUCGGUGACUAAGCGAAAGCGAUAAGUUAUCCACCUGGGGAGUACGUUCGCAAGAAUGAAACUCAAAGGAAUUGACGGGGGCCCGCACAAGCGGAGGAACAUGUGGUUUAAUUCGAUGAUACGCGAGGAACCUUACCCGGGCUUGAAAGUUACUGACGAUUCUGGAAACAGGAUUUCCCUUUGGGGCAGGAAACUAGGUGCUGCAUGGUUGUCGUCAGCUCGUGCCGUGAGGUGUCGGGUUAAGUCCCAUAACGAGCGCAACCCCUACCGUUAGUUGCCAUCAGGUCAAGCUGGGCACUCUGGCGGGACUGCCGGUGUAAGCCGAGAGGAAGGUGGGGAUGACGUCAAAUCAGCACGGCCCUUACGUCCGGGGCUACACACGUGUUACAAUGGUAGGUACAGAGGGUCGCUACUCCGUGAGGAGAUGCCAAUCUCGAAAGCCUAUCUCAGUUCGGAUUGGAGGCUGAAACCCGCCUCCAUGAAGUUGGAUUCGCUAGUAAUCGCGCAUCAGCCAUGGCGCGGUGAAUACGUUCCCGGGCCUUGCACUCACCGCCCGUCAAG